CCGCCCCGCCCCCUGGCGGGAAGCGCCUAGGCCCACACUCUGCCCCAGGAGAGCACUUCGAGGUUGGGUCAAGUUCGUGCGCGGCUCGGAGCGCUGUUUUCCUCAGAUUUCGGGGUGUCCUGCUUUCUCUGCCCUCAGCCUCCGUCCGGCUGCCGCCGGAGAAACUCUACCCUCAACUUGGGGCUUGAACCCACAACCUCAAGAUCAAAAGUCGCAUGCUCUAUGGACUGGGCCAGAAGCUUCGGCACGAUCACACUUGAGGGGAAAGAGCCACUAACCCAGCCUGAGUCCGUCUCCUCCCUCUUCAUUACUCGAAGCCGAACUAGGAGUCCGCCUCCAGGGUCUCCGCGGCUCCUCGCCCCCAGGCAGAAGACACGUGGCUCUGAAAACAGCCACAGAAAAACCUCAAGUCCUAGCUCCGUCCUGUCACCCCGUCACCCGCCACGGAGAAGGCGAAUGCCCACGACACGGUCACCAUAUGCCAGCGCCCUCGGGCCCGGCUGUGUCUCAGCUCUUAGAACCAGGAAGUCCGCUGCUCAGGCAAACACUGAGUUGCCAAGGCGACUGGCAUCCCUCUCAAGGGUCAGCCUGGAGGCUAGAGAGGCAACAGUGCCCCCUGUCGCCUUGGAGACUUCCCGGUUGUGAUGAUGGAAGUCUGUGGCUGGACGAGAAAUGUCCUCACUUCCCUGCACAGGAGCAAUGACACCUGAAGGCAGGAAGUAUGGCGAUGGCGGGCGGCGUCAUUUUUUUAAAGAUGAAAACAAUGCUGCUGUUGGCAACACCUUUGAAAAUGUACUUUGAAUUAUAACACUAAUUUGCUUCUCUCA
This is a long non-coding RNA of Suricata suricatta (meerkat), 827 nucleotides long. RefSeq lists it as uncharacterized. The transcript has 3 exons. Lineage: Eukaryota; Metazoa; Chordata; Mammalia; Carnivora; Herpestidae. The record is from RefSeq and is a predicted model, not a curated record.